This 301-nucleotide ribosomal RNA is filed under the name uncultured bacterium. RNAcentral's name for it is "partial 16S ribosomal RNA". It matches the Rfam family "Bacterial small subunit ribosomal RNA", at positions 509 to 807 of the family's 1533-position model. The record is from RNAcentral.
CAGCCGCCGCGGUAAUACGAAGGGUGCAAGCGUUGAUCGGAAUUACUGGGCGUAAAGCGUGCGUAGGCGGUGAGUUAAGUCUGCUGUGAAAUCCCCGGGCUCAACCUGGGAAUGGCAGUGGAUACUGGCUCGCUAGAGUGUGUCAGAGGAUGGUGGAAUUCCCGGUGUAGCGGUGAAAUGCGUAGAGAUCGGGAGGAACAUCAGUGGCGAAGGCGGCCAUCUGGGACAACACUGACGCUGAGGCACGAAAGCGUGGGGAGCAAACAGGAUUAGAUACCCGAGUAGUCCCUGUCUCUUAUAC